RNAcentral lists this ribosomal RNA (465 nucleotides) under uncultured bacterium. Its description in RNAcentral is "bacterial SSU rRNA". It matches the Rfam family "Bacterial small subunit ribosomal RNA", at positions 338 to 795 of the family's 1533-position model. The record is from RNAcentral.
CCUACGGGAGGCACCAGUGGGGAAUAUUGCACAAUGGGCGCAAGUCUGAUGCAGCCAUGCCGCGUGUGUGAAGAAGGCCUUCGGGUUGUAAAGCACUUUCAGCGAGGAGGAAGGUGUUGUGGUUAAUAACCACAGCAAUUGACGUUACCCGCAGAAGAAGCACCGGCUAACUCCGUGCCAGCAGCCGCGGUAAUACGGAGGGUGCAAGCGUUAAUCGGAAUUACUGGGCGUAAAGCGCACGCAGGCGGUCUGUCAAGUCGGAUGUGAAAUCCCCGGGCUCAACCUGGGAACUGCAUUCGAAACUGGCAGGCUAGAGUCUUGUAGAGGGGGGUAGAAUUCCAGGUGUAGCGGUGAAAUGCGUAGGGAUCUGGAGGAAUACCGGUGGCGAAGGCGGCCCCCUGGACAAAGACUGACGCUCAGGUGCGAAAGCGUGGGGAGCAAACAGGAUUAGAUACCCUCGUAGUC